AGUGAACGCUGGCGGUAGGCCUAACACAUGCAAGUCGAACGGCAGCACAGUAGGAGCUUGCUCUUACGGGUGGCGAGUGGCGGACGGGUGAGGAAUACAUCGGAAUCUACUUUUUCGUGGGGGAUAACGUAGGGAAACUUACGCUAAUACCGCAUACGACCUACGAGUGAAAGCAGGGGAUCUUCGGACCUUGCGCGAUUGAAUGAGCCGAUGUCGGAUUAGCUAGUUGGCGGGGUAAAGGCCCACCAAGGCGACGAUCCGUAGCUGGUCUGAGAGGAUGAUCGGCCACACUGGAACUGGGACACGGUCCAGACUCCUACGGGAGGCAGCAGUGGGGAAUAUUGGACAAUGGGCGCAAGCCUGAUCCAGCCAUACCGCGUGGGUGAAGAAGGCCUUCGGGUUGUAAAGCCCUUUUGUUGGGAAAGAAAAGCAGCAGGUUAAUACCCCGCUGUUCUGACGGUACCCAAAGAAUAAGCACCGGCUAACUUCGUG
This 492-nucleotide ribosomal RNA is filed under the name uncultured bacterium. RNAcentral's name for it is "partial 16S ribosomal RNA". It matches the Rfam family "Bacterial small subunit ribosomal RNA", at positions 29 to 507 of the family's 1533-position model. The record is from RNAcentral.